RNAcentral lists this ribosomal RNA (279 nucleotides) under uncultured bacterium. RNAcentral's name for it is "partial 16S ribosomal RNA". It matches the Rfam family "Bacterial small subunit ribosomal RNA", at positions 506 to 784 of the family's 1533-position model. The record is from RNAcentral.
UGCCAGCCGCCGCGGUAAUACGGAGGGUGCAAGCGUUGUUCGGAUUUAUUGGGCGUAAAGCGCGCGCAGGCGGAUAGGUAAGUCAGGUGUGAAAUCUCGGGGCUCAACCCCGAAACUGCGCCUGAAACUGUUUAUCUAGAAUCUCAUAGGGGGAAGGGGAAUUUCGCAUGUAGGGGUAAAAUCCGUAGAGAUGCGAAGGAACACUCGAGGGGAAACCGCCUUCCUGGAUGAGUAUUGACGCUGAGGCGCGAAAGCGUGGGGAGCAAACAGGAUUAGAUA